Dasypus novemcinctus (nine-banded armadillo) is the source of this 1753-nucleotide long non-coding RNA. Lineage: Eukaryota; Metazoa; Chordata; Mammalia; Cingulata; Dasypodidae. The record is from Ensembl.
CAACAAUUACCAGAGCAAAUUAAGUAAUGUCCCAAAUAAGGGGAAACUUAGAAGGAUAUUCAGAGAGCAUUGAAUGUAUCUAUCAGGAUUGCCUAUGCAUGUUAUCAAUGCAUAUUUUCCUUCACAGUGUUCACAGUGGGGUAAUCAUAACUAUAUGGUUUAUGAGGAAGACCAGUGAUUGCUGCUUCCCAUCCCUUCACUAAGGAUUAGUUGCACAGAGGGAGAGAGGAAGCAGAAUCUGGAGGACGCACCCUGGAGACAGAAACAAAUGUUGAAAAAUGAUGCCUGGAAUCAGCUGCCUGAGGAACAUGGGAAUGACCUAUUGGACAGUGACAGUGGCCCUGAGCUAACCUUACCCCAAUUCUACGGUUCACCAUUUCUACUUCCUCUUCCCUCUCCUCCCCUCUAUGAGUGUUGAGCCAUUCUGAGCAUAGGAAGAGGUUUGGGCUGCACUUCCCCACAGGUUUAAAUCCCUGUGCAAGUGUAAAUGCUCGUACACAGACCACGGUGAUACUCAGCUUCAUCCAUCAACUGAGAGCCCAUGAUGAUAAGUGUGGCUUUGUUCCCAGAGAUGAAGCCUCAGAAGUGAUCAGAGACCCCAGAGGUUGGCCACUCAUGCUGUAGAUCGUCAUGUGUGGAGCCCAGUCUGAAGUCUACUGGUAACGGCUGGGGUAGUAACUGGUAGAGACUGAACCAGAGCUGUGGCUGCAGGUGAGCAUGACCAUCCUUCCUAGAGACCCUGAUAGUGAAGGCUCCUGGAUCACCACAGUUUGAGAACCCACCCUGAGACCAGCAGGACAGACAGUAUUGUAGACAAGGCAUCACACCGAGAUCUCUGCUCUCACAUGAGCAACCCAAGAAGGCAGAAACAUUCCAUUAAACUGAACCAUAAGCAAGGAGCCUGAGUAGAAGAGCCUUUCAAGCUAUGAUGGGGACACUCAUAAGGACUCGCUCCUCAUUCUCCUCAGCUAGAGUUGGUGUCCUUGGGGCCUUUUCAUGGCUUCCCACAAAAGGUUCUUCAUGCAAAUCUGCUUCCUCCAUCUUCCUGCCCCAGCAUUGACCUUUUUGUGCCCCUGGGUGGGAUCUUCAAAGAGGCAAGUGCUGGGACCUCAGGUAGACCAGUGCCCACAUUGAGACUUAGCGCCUGCAGGAUUAUAUUUGAUGCCUCUCGCGAAACACAAUACUCACUUGCCCGCUGUUGACCUCAGUACGAAAGAUCUUCUCUGGAAAAUCUAAGAACAGGAGGAUGAAAAGGGGGAGGUCCCAACCUGUCUCUUCUUUCCUAAAACCAACACCAUCACUGUGAAUGUUUUCUUCCAUCCUCUCUGAAAUCACUUCUUGCCUUUUAUGGGAUUCUUAGCACAUAGUCCCUCUCUCUAGCAAUGAUUCAAUGGGAAAACACCAAGUUCCUGUCUGGGUGUGAAGGGAUAUGUUUCUCUACUGAUGCAGUUCUGGAUCCUGUCUCUGUAGGAGGAGUGGCACUGAUCAUAUAUCAGACAAAAAGUUCAUGGUAAAUAAACACAGUGCUAAAGAAUCAAGCAUUCCUCAAUAAAGUAGAGAAAAGCACCUAGUUUUAUAGCAAUUGCAUUUUAAGAUAAAGGGCAUGUAAAACUUCAGAGAAAAAGGAGGAAGUAAAUUAAAAUAACAAAAUCCUAACAGUCCAUAAGUCCACGUGUCAUUAUAAAUCCACAAAAUCGGCAGAUAAAAUAAUACUAAGAAAUAAAAGCUAAAAUAUGACAGUUAAUGGUUUGGA